Long non-coding RNA from Coregonus clupeaformis (lake whitefish), 722 nucleotides. RefSeq lists it as uncharacterized. NCBI's taxonomy places the organism in Eukaryota, Metazoa, Chordata, Actinopteri, Salmoniformes, Salmonidae. The transcript has 4 exons. The record is from RefSeq and is a predicted model, not a curated record.
UGGGGUUGGUACAGGACAAUAGAGCAGGUUAGAGCCACAACGACUGGUGUUAGUUUGGACUUCAGCACAGCAGAGAAUUCUUGGAGAAGAUUUGGCUCCUCGGCGUUUGUGUGGCACUGGCUUUCAUUUCUACUUCUGCUCAUGUCUCCUCCAGUAUGAGUGCUACGUACCUGAUCUCAGCCCCCAGUGUGUUGCGUCCGGGGACCCCUACCUCCCUGGCUGUCACCAUCCUCACGAACGACCCAGUCAGGGUCACAGCAGAGCUGACCAACGGCAACACCAGCCUGGCCCAGGCAGAGAGUUCUUUCAGAGGUGACGUCCGUGGGUCAGGUGGUGGCUGCAGGGACAGCAACCUCUCCCUCCUUCUCUCGAACCCCUGCAGUGUCCUGGUCACCAGAGGCCUGUAUCUCUGUGUACUGUGUACUACCUGAUGGAGAGGUCAUCAGUGACCUGCACAUCUUCAUCAAGCCCCAUGUAGUCCUGCAAAACAAGGUAUCUCUGAGCUGGAGCCAUGCCAAGGCAAGGCCAGGUGAUGAGGUGUUCUUCAGUCAGUGUGCUUGAACCUGGCUCUCUGGUCAGAAUAAUGGUGGUGGCGUGGAGGACAAAGAAACUGUACUGUACAUCUAGAUACACCCUGCCACAUGAAAUAUAGUCUACUGUAAACAACGCCUAAGAUGUACCACUGUACUGUCUUUAUUGUCUGUAAAGCAAUCCGACAUUUA